UUCUCAGGCUAUUGAAGUAAAUGAAGAAGUAAUAUUUAUCCACUGUAGGUACUCCACUUCUUUCAGAAUGGCUGUGGAAAAUGUAUUCAGACAUGCUGAGAGAUGCUGACCAAGGUGAAUUCCCAUACUUUUCAGGU
Dipodomys ordii (Ord's kangaroo rat) is the source of this 137-nucleotide unclassified non-coding RNA. Lineage: Eukaryota; Metazoa; Chordata; Mammalia; Rodentia; Heteromyidae. The record is from Ensembl.